UACGGGGGGGGCAAGCGUUGUUCGGAAUUACUGGGCGUAAAGGGCGCGUAGGCGGUUUGCUAAGUUGGAUGUGAAAACUCUGGGCUUAACCCAGAGCCUGCAUCCAAAACUGGCAAACUUGAGUACUGGAGGGGAAAGCGGAAUUCCUGGUGUAGCGGUGAAAUGCGUAGAUAUCAGGAGGAACACCGGUGGCGAUGGCGGCUUUCUGGACAGUAACUGACGCUGAGGCGCGAAAGCUAGGGGAGCAAACAGG
Molecule: ribosomal RNA, 253 nt
Filed under: uncultured bacterium
Lineage: Bacteria
Description: partial 16S ribosomal RNA
Rfam family: Bacterial small subunit ribosomal RNA
Source: RNAcentral